Molecule: long non-coding RNA, 418 nt
Organism: Ornithodoros turicata
Lineage: Eukaryota; Metazoa; Arthropoda; Arachnida; Ixodida; Argasidae
Exons: 3
Source: RefSeq, a predicted model, not a curated record
GUGCGCAAUCACAACGAACGGGCCAGAACAGAUUCGUCUCCAAUAUCAUCCUUCGCAGAAUGAAACUAGGGACUGUAGCUGCCAUAUUUGUCAUGGCAGCCCUGGGCAACGAUUGGAACAGGGGUACAUCGGCAUUUGGACCCGUUUCGAAGAGAGUUGACCCGAUACAAGAAAAUAAGAAGAUCUUGUUGAGGAACCAUCUACGAUUAUCCACCCGCAACAUACUUACCCUGAACAGUGCUCCUUAUGAAGAACGCCUACCACUGAGUCAUCAGAACAGGUUUUUUAUUGAAUUUGAUUUCAACAACUUCAAUGGAGAUUGUGCGGCCAGCGCUCACUACGGUCCCACGGUUAAACGGGGUUCACUGCUACAGCUAUGCGACAAUCUUCCUAAUCCGUCAAUCAAAAUCGACAGUGA